AUUGAACGCUGGCGGCAUGCCUUACACAUGCAAGUCGAACGGCAGCGGGGGAGAAGCUUGCUUUUCCUGCCGGCGAGUGGCGAACGGGUGAGUAAUACAUCGGAACGUGCCCUGUAGUGGGGGAUAACUAGUCGAAAGAUUAGCUAAUACCGCAUACGACCUGAGGGUGAAAGUGGGGGACCGCAGGGCCUCAUGCUAUAGGAGCGGCCAAUGUCUGAUUAGCUAGUUGGUGGGGUAAAGGCCUACCAAGGCGACGAUCAGUAGCUGGUCUGAGAGGACGAUCAGCCACACUGGGACUGAGACACGGCCCAGACUCCUACGGGAGGCAGCAGUGGGGAAUUUUGGACAAUGGGCGAAAGCCUGAUCCAGCAAUGCCGCGUGUGUGAAGAAGGCCUUCGGGUUGUAAAGCACUUUUGUCCGGAAAGAAAUGGCUCUGGUUAAUACCUGGGGUCGAUGACGGUACCGGAAGAAUAAGGACCGGCUAACUACGUGCCAGCCGCCGCGGUAA
RNAcentral lists this ribosomal RNA (508 nucleotides) under uncultured bacterium. Its description in RNAcentral is "partial 16S ribosomal RNA". It matches the Rfam family "Bacterial small subunit ribosomal RNA", at positions 30 to 523 of the family's 1533-position model. The record is from RNAcentral.